Molecule: long non-coding RNA, 1054 nt
Organism: Daphnia magna
Lineage: Eukaryota; Metazoa; Arthropoda; Branchiopoda; Diplostraca; Daphniidae
Exons: 3
Source: RefSeq, a predicted model, not a curated record
AGGAUUUAAUUAUCAACACAUACUCAAAUGUCUUAAAUGUAAACAUACUUUAGUUUUCAGUCAGAAUUUUUUCUAAGUUCUUAACUGAAUCCUCGAUAUAGUCAGGAAAAUGUAGUAACAAUUUUAUAUCAAAAUAGCUGAGUGGUUAAGGCGCUAUACUGUGAAAGUCAGUAAUGUAUGGUACCGUGUUCAAUCCCCACCGAAGAUUUUCUUUUUUUCCGUUUUAGUCAAUGGUAGACUAGUCUACUAUUAUAUUAUAUUCUAAAUUCACUGAAUUUCAUUGUACAUUUACGAGGGUUUCACUAGAAAAUGACUGCUUCGGUACUGCUUGCUUUAUUUUCUAAAAGUUUUUUUGCUUCAAGUAAUUCUAUAGUAUUUCUAUGUUAUUAUUGUAAAAAUACUUGUUCCAAAAUCCUUUAGUAUUACUCGAGUUUUUUUUAUUGUAUUUCUUGAGUAAUUGCCAAGUAAAUUUUUACCUGGGGCUCCAGAGGCACUUGCCGUAGACUCUAAAUUUGUUCAAGUAAAUUAUUCCUUUUAAUUAUUUCAUCAUGACCAAUUUUUACGAUUGGAUUGAUGAUCUGUUCUUGUAGUUGCUGUCUCAAUGUCAAGACGUUUGCUUGCUGAAGGUUUGCGAUACCAAUUGAUGGUUGACCAGUUGACCUACGCCGAAGUACGAUUAGCCCAAUGUAUCAAUGUAGGAGAAUAAGGUACCACUGAAGACUGGAUUAACCAGACAGAAAAAUAUAUUUCUGAUCGGAUGAAUGAACUGGUGUCGAAACAAUCUACACGAGUUGAGGAGUUACAUGAGUUGAACCCCAUCAUGCGAAGUCAAUUGGCCGUUCACCACCAACUUUUAUCGGAUGUGCACUCCGUAUUGAAAAGCAUGGCUAAAUGUGAAAUGGGGGAUGGAUCGGUUUCUCAUUAUUUGGAGAAGCAUCGCCAGUUUUCGGAAUGUUGUUCGUCAGUACCCCGUCGUUUGGCCACUAAAGAUUAUCAUUUUAAGAAAUGUAAGUGGUGUAUAAACAUGAAAUGCGUGUUAAAUACACAUUUUUAA